UUGACCUCGGAUCAGGUACGGAUACCACGCU
Molecule: ribosomal RNA, 31 nt
Filed under: fungal sp. 2.34.4H
Lineage: Eukaryota; Fungi
Description: partial 28S ribosomal RNA
Source: RNAcentral